GAAGGAGCGGCGCCGCUCCGGCAGCCGACACCCAGCGGAGGAUGAUGAGGGUCUGCAUCGCGGUGCUCCUGGUCCUUCAGUCCCUGCCGGGGAAGGCAGAGCUCCAAGAUGACAUGGAGGAGAUCGCACAGGAUUUAUAUGACUACAUGGCUCAUUUAAGCAAACACCAUUGGAUAUGUGGAUUGGGACAAGUUGUUUCCAGAAGAGAAUGCCACCACCAAGGUUCCAGAAGUACCAAACACAAAAGCUCCGGGGGAUUCCAGGGAUGCUAAGGACAGUCAGGUGGGUGCCUGUCAGCUCAGGAGCUCUGCCACAGGCUUUUAGCACAAUAAAACACGGGACUUCCUGACUGAUUUAUUUUCCUUGGCUCACCAGGAUUUCCAGGAGUCAUUGGGAUCGUCCCUGCAGGGCCACCUCACCCUCACCAUCCUCCUCAGCUGCCUGGGUCUCCUGCUAUGAUGCCCAGACUCCUCCUCCAAAGGUACUCUGGGAUUUCAACACUCACUCAAAGUGUGUCCUUGAACCCAGAGAAAUCCAAUUCUUUCUGAAGCAGCAACUUUCCAGAACAAUGGAAAGAUAACAAGCCCUUCCAGGCAGAUAACAGCCCAUCCAGCUGCGACAUCAGGGAACUCCUCAGCAGCUCUGACCACCACUGAUGGCCUGGAGAAGCUUUCCAGGGCAUUUUCCCUGUUGGUAUUCAGUGGGACCUUCACGGGGUGUGAGGAACCAGGCACCUCCUGCUGCUCCUCCACCAAAACACCAUUCCCUAAAACCCUGGAACGGUUUGGGUUGGGAUGAACCUCACAGACCAGCUGGUUCCACCCUCCUGCCCAGCUUCCUCCAAAGCUCCAUCCCACCUGGCCAACUUUUCCCCACAGCUGGAGCUCUCCAACAUCCCAGGAGGUGGCCAACCUCCAUCCUGCCACACCCUGCUCACCUUUUUCCCUCCUUCCAGACACCGUGGCUGGGAUGGCGACCAGGACAUUGUCAGGUGUUGACGAUGACAUCCUCUCCACGAGGUGUUGUCUCUGUUCCAGAACUGCUGAGAUGUUUUGUCUGGAGGUUUUGGUGGAAAGCCGAUGCCGAGCAUGGAGAGCUCAGCAACCUUUCAGUCCUUUCCUGUUUCCUUGGAUUCCGCUGUAAAUAAGAACCUCUGCCAAUAAAAUCCCCAACACCUGGUGCACGGCGUCUCAUGGUAAAUAAUCCAGCACUGGAAAAACAAAUGCAAACAAUGCAUGCAAGUGCUUGUCCCAUCAGAAGGAUUUCUCAAGCCUCUAAACCCAGCCAGGUGCUUCCAACUUUGUUUCUUCCAGAACUGCUCUUCACACUGUUUAUUUUCCAAAACACACACAAUAUCUGGGUGUGAUGAGAAGCUGGAUCAGAAAACCUCCCACCAGCCCAACCCCUCCAUGGAGAGCAAACUGUCGCAGAAAUGGGUGAUUUUGGUCAGGAAAUCAGAGUUAAAUUCCUUUUUGCGGGGGGAAAAAAUGCAAUCCCACACUCGGUGCCUAUGUUGCUUUUCCUUGGGAGAGUCAGCAGGAAGGAGAGAUGGAAAACUGGCCCAGGUGUGUCCAGGUAACCCUAUAGGACAAAAGAGGUUGAGUCAAGCCAACAGGAGAACCGUGGUAGUCCCAGUGCCCAGAGCCCUCAGAUCUCUCCAGAAACCUCCUGGAUCCCGGGGGAAUCUCCCGAGCCGCCAGAGCAGGUACGACCCAUCCCACCUGCACCCACGGAGCAGCCCCGGGGCCAGCCCACCAUUCCCAGGUUAUCCAAGCCCACAGCCUUGGAAAGAAGAAAAGUUUUGUUUCCUGCAGAAGGUAAAAAGCUCGAAACGCGUUCAGAAGCGGCGGGAGGAGCGAGAGCGGAUGCGCUGCCUGGCAGUGCCACCUCCUGGCUCUGUGCUGCCAUAAAGGUGGAUUGAGAAGAGCCAAGAACGCCCCGGAAAAUUAUUCAGAAUCACACAGCAGUGAGAUUUCCAACCCUGGAGUGGAGUAAAAAGCAAUUAAAGGGAAAUAAAAUAUGUG
This 2024-nucleotide long non-coding RNA is filed under the name Taeniopygia guttata (zebra finch). RNAcentral describes it as "lncRNA (ENSTGUG00000026489.1)". Lineage: Eukaryota; Metazoa; Chordata; Aves; Passeriformes; Estrildidae. The record is from RNAcentral.